RNAcentral lists this ribosomal RNA (1501 nucleotides) under Enterococcus durans. RNAcentral's name for it is "bacterial SSU rRNA". It matches the Rfam family "Bacterial small subunit ribosomal RNA". The record is from RNAcentral. Lineage: Bacteria; Bacillati; Bacillota; Bacilli; Lactobacillales; Enterococcaceae.
CUCAGGACGAACGCUGGCGGCGUGCCUAAUACAUGCAAGUCGUACGCUUCUUUUUCCACCGGAGCUUGCUCCACCGGAAAAAGAAGAGUGGCGAACGGGUGAGUAACACGUGGGUAACCUGCCCAUCAGAAGGGGAUAACACUUGGAAACAGGUGCUAAUACCGUAUAACAAUCGAAACCGCAUGGUUUUGAUUUGAAAGGCGCUUUCGGGUGUCGCUGAUGGAUGGACCCGCGGUGCAUUAGCUAGUUGGUGAGGUAACGGCUCACCAAGGCCACGAUGCAUAGCCGACCUGAGAGGGUGAUCGGCCACAUUGGGACUGAGACACGGCCCAAACUCCUACGGGAGGCAGCAGUAGGGAAUCUUCGGCAAUGGACGAAAGUCUGACCGAGCAACGCCGCGUGAGUGAAGAAGGUUUUCGGAUCGUAAAACUCUGUUGUUAGAGAAGAACAAGGAUGAGAGUAACUGUUCAUCCCUUGACGGUAUCUAACCAGAAAGCCACGGCUAACUACGUGCCAGCAGCCGCGGUAAUACGUAGGUGGCAAGCGUUGUCCGGAUUUAUUGGGCGUAAAGCGAGCGCAGGCGGUUUCUUAAGUCUGAUGUGAAAGCCCCCGGCUCAACCGGGGAGGGUCAUUGGAAACUGGGAGACUUGAGUGCAGAAGAGGAGAGUGGAAUUCCAUGUGUAGCGGUGAAAUGCGUAGAUAUAUGGAGGAACACCAGUGGCGAAGGCGGCUCUCUGGUCUGUAACUGACGCUGAGGCUCGAAAGCGUGGGGAGCAAACAGGAUUAGAUACCCUGGUAGUCCACGCCGUAAACGAUGAGUGCUAAGUGUUGGAGGGUUUCCGCCCUUCAGUGCUGCAGCUAACGCAUUAAGCACUCCGCCUGGGGAGUACGACCGCAAGGUUGAAACUCAAAGGAAUUGACGGGGGCCCGCACAAGCGGUGGAGCAUGUGGUUUAAUUCGAAGCAACGCGAAGAACCUUACCAGGUCUUGACAUCCUUUGACCACUCUAGAGAUAGAGCUUCCCCUUCGGGGGCAAAGUGACAGGUGGUGCAUGGUUGUCGUCAGCUCGUGUCGUGAGAUGUUGGGUUAAGUCCCGCAACGAGCGCAACCCUUAUUGUUAGUUGCCAUCAUUUAGUUGGGCACUCUAGCAAGACUGCCGGUGACAAACCGGAGGAAGGUGGGGAUGACGUCAAAUCAUCAUGCCCCUUAUGACCUGGGCUACACACGUGCUACAAUGGGAAGUACAACGAGUCGCGAAGUCGCGAGGCUAAGCUAAUCUCUUAAAGCUUCUCUCAGUUCGGAUUGUAGGCUGCAACUCGCCUACAUGAAGCCGGAAUCGCUAGUAAUCGCGGAUCAGCACGCCGCGGUGAAUACGUUCCCGGGCCUUGUACACACCGCCCGUCACACCACGAGAGUUUGUAACACCCGAAGUCGGUGAGGUAACCUUUUGGAGCCAGCCGCCUAAGGUGGGAUAGAUGAUUGGGGUGAAGUCGUAACAAGG